AGGGUUCGAUUCUGGCUCAGGAUUAACGCUGGCGGCGUGCCUAAUACAUGCAAGUCGAAUGGUUAGCUUGCUAACCAUGGCGAACGGGUGAGUAACACGUAGGCAACCUGUCUAAGAGACGAGGAUAACCAUUGGAAACGAUGGAUAAUACUGGAUAAGAUAUUGGGAGGCAUCUUCUGAUAUUUAAAGAUUUAUCGCUAAUAGAGGGGCCUGCGGCGCAUUAGCUAGUUGGUGAGGUAACGGCCCACCAAGGCGAUGAUGCGUAGCCGGACUGAGAGGUUGAACGGCCACAAUGGGACUGAGAACGGCCCAUACUCCUACGGGAGGCAGCAGUAGGGAAUUUUCGGCAAUGGACGAAAGUCUGAACCCGAGCAACGCCGCGUGAACGAAGAAGUAUUUCGGUAUGUAAAGUUCUUUUAUUUGGGAAGAAAAUACAUUGACUGUACCAAAUGAAUAAGCUCCGGCUAACUACGUGCCAGCAGCGGC
Molecule: ribosomal RNA, 486 nt
Filed under: uncultured bacterium
Lineage: Bacteria
Description: bacterial SSU rRNA
Rfam family: Bacterial small subunit ribosomal RNA
Source: RNAcentral